AGCUCCUCCAAGGCCGGCAGCAGGGACUCCUUCCUCUGUCUUUUGAUACUGCUGCUGGAAAAAGAAAACAAAAUAAUACAUCUAGAGAGGCCUUAAAGAUCCUAUAAUCCAAACCUUAUUUAUACAGAUUAAGAGGCCAAGACCCAAGGAGAUGAAUGGGUUAGUGGUUGAUCUGGCAUCACACUCUUCUUACCGGCUUAAGACUGAAUACCACCAAUCUUCUGUAUUAUGCAUUUUAUUUAUAUCAAAAACAAGAACUAAGAGGAAAAUUAUGUGUCUCUUUUUCAAGGAAGAAAAGGCAUGUGGAGCUUUGUAUCUUUGUUUGAAAAUUUUUAUGGUGCUAUUCACACUUAACAAGUGUGUUAAUCUCCUUGGAUUCUUUCUCUUUCUUUUUCUAGAAUAGAUGAUAUGCAGCACCCUUCUUAAGGAAUCAAAUACACUUAAUUAAAAGAUGCCAGAUUCCAAUA
This 467-nucleotide long non-coding RNA is filed under the name Equus caballus (horse). RNAcentral's name for it is "lncRNA (ENSECAG00000056834.1)". Lineage: Eukaryota; Metazoa; Chordata; Mammalia; Perissodactyla; Equidae. The record is from RNAcentral.